CGGGGUGUGGCUCAGCUUGGUAGAGCGCUUGGUUCGGGACCAUGAGGCCGGAGGUUCAAAUCCUCUCACUCCGACCA
Molecule: transfer RNA, 77 nt
Filed under: Gudongella oleilytica
Lineage: Bacteria; Bacillati; Bacillota; Tissierellia; Tissierellales; Tissierellaceae
Also listed under: 4 other names
Description: tRNA-Pro
Rfam family: tRNA
About the family: Transfer RNA (tRNA) molecules are approximately 80 nucleotides in length. Their secondary structure includes four short double-helical elements and three loops (D, anti-codon, and T loops).
Source: RNAcentral